Molecule: ribosomal RNA, 203 nt
Filed under: uncultured bacterium
Lineage: Bacteria
Description: partial 16S ribosomal RNA
Rfam family: Bacterial small subunit ribosomal RNA
Source: RNAcentral
GCUCCCUCCGCGCCAUCAGACGUCCUACGGACGGCAGCAUGGGGAAUCGUUGCGGCAAUGGACGAAAGUCUGACGCAGCAACGCCGCGUGAGGGACGAAGGGUUUUACUGGUAAUUGUAAACCUCUUUCGACUAGGGACGAGUAAUGACGGUACCUGUACGAAGAAGCACCGGCCAACUAUGUGCCAGCCGCCGCGGUAAUAC